This 256-nucleotide ribosomal RNA is filed under the name uncultured bacterium. Its description in RNAcentral is "partial 16S ribosomal RNA". It matches the Rfam family "Bacterial small subunit ribosomal RNA", at positions 524 to 777 of the family's 1533-position model. The record is from RNAcentral.
UACGUAGGGGGCAAGCGUUGUCCGGAAUCAUUGGGCGUAAAGAGCGUGUAGGCGGUCCGUUAAGUCGGCUGUGAAAGUCCAGGGCUCAACCCUGGGAUGCCGGCCGAUACUGGCGGACUAGAGUCCGGAAGAGGUGAGUGGAAUUCCCGGUGUAGCGGUGAAAUGCGCAGAUAUCGGGAGGAACACCAAAUGGCGAAGGCAGCUCACUGGGACGGUACUGACGCUGAGACGGCGAAAGCGUGGGGAGCAAACAGGG